Molecule: long non-coding RNA, 456 nt
Organism: Gavialis gangeticus (Gharial)
Lineage: Eukaryota; Metazoa; Chordata; Crocodylia; Gavialidae
Exons: 3
Source: RefSeq, a predicted model, not a curated record
AUCUUUAGUGAUGUAUUGUCUUCAAAUGCUUUUUAAAACAUAAGCCAAGGCUCUCUUAAUAAAUCAUUGUACUUGAGGGAUGAAUUUUUUUUCCUUUCCCAAAAAUCCCAUGUGCAUGAUUAUUAUGGUAAUGUUAAGGAGGUUUCUUUGGAUCAGUAAUUCAGACUACAUGUUUUUAGACUUUUCAGACCAUUAUGAUUUACCUUUGCAAAGAUGGUCUUGCUUUCCUUCAUAAAACCCUGAGGGAGCUCCACUUUUAAAGGAUGCAGUUGGUGUAUUCCUACAGAGUCAACUCCAGAUAAGCUCCAGCCGAAGCAGGUCUCUGCAGUUUGAGCAUAGCUGUGUUUCCGUUAAGAAAAGCCAUCAGAGAGAAGAACUAUUGGCAGUAUUUAAAUAGAAAAGAUUGGGGGGGCUGAAAAUAUCUAGUUUGACUUGGUUGUAUGCAACUUCCUCGUG